AACGAACGUUGGCGGCGUGGAUUAGGCAUGCAAGUCGAACGCGAAUCCCUGGGCAACUGGGGAGGAGAGUGGCGAAAGGGGCAGUAAGGCGUGGGUAACCUACCCUCCGGGCCGGGAUAGCUUCGGGAAACUGAAGGUAAUACCGGGCGACGCAGCGAGAUCGCAUGGUCUUGCUGCCAAAGGUCCGCCGCCGGGGGAGGGGCUCACGUGGUAUUAGCUAGACGGCGGGGUAACGGCCCACCGUGGCAAAGAUGCCUAGCAGGUGUGAGAGCACGACCUGCGCCACUGGAACUGAGACGCUGGCCAGACACCUACGGGUGGCUGCAGUCGAGGAUCUUCGGCAAUGGGCGCAAGCCUGACCGAGCGACGCCGCGUGUGCGAUGAAGGCCUUCGGGUUGUAAAGCACUGUCGAGGGGGAGGAAGCCGCAAGGUUGACCUAUCCCUGGAGGAAGCACGGGCUAAGUUCGUG
RNAcentral lists this ribosomal RNA (469 nucleotides) under uncultured bacterium. RNAcentral describes it as "partial 16S ribosomal RNA". It matches the Rfam family "Bacterial small subunit ribosomal RNA", at positions 28 to 507 of the family's 1533-position model. The record is from RNAcentral.